This 501-nucleotide ribosomal RNA is filed under the name uncultured bacterium. RNAcentral describes it as "partial 16S ribosomal RNA". It matches the Rfam family "Bacterial small subunit ribosomal RNA", at positions 30 to 523 of the family's 1533-position model. The record is from RNAcentral.
AUUGAACGCUGGCGGCAGGCUUAACACAUGCAAGUCGAGCGGAGAGAGGUAGCUUGCUACUGAUCUUAGCGGCGGACGGGUGAGUAAUGCUUAGGAAUCUGCCUAUUAGUGGGGGACAACAUUUCGAAAGGAAUGCUAAUACCGCAUACGUCCUACGGGAGAAAGCAGGGGAUCUUCGGACCUUGCGCUAAUAGAUGAGCCUAAGUCGGAUUAGCUAGUUGGUGGGGUAAAGGCCUACCAAGGCGACGAUCUGUAGCGGGUCUGAGAGGAUGAUCCGCCACACUGGGACUGAGACACGGCCCAGACUCCUACGGGAGGCAGCAGUGGGGAAUAUUGGACGAUGGGCGCAAGCCUGAUCCAGCCAUGCCGCGUGUGUGAAGAAGGCCUUAUGGUUGUAAAGCACUUUAAGCGAGGAGGAGGCUACUUUAGUUAGUACCUAGAGAUAGUGGACGUUACUCGCAGAAUAAGCACCGGCUAACUCUGUGCCAGCCGCCGCCGUAA